UACGUAGGGUGCAAGCGUUGUCCGGAAUUAUUGGGCGUAAAGAGCUCGUAGGCGGUUUGUCGCGUCUGCUGUGAAAACUCAGGGCUUAACCCUGAGCCUGCAGUGGGUACGGGCAGACUAGAGUGUGGUAGGGGAGAUCGGAAUUCCUGGUGUAGCGGUGGAAUGCGCAGAUAUCAGGAGGAACACCGGUGGCGAAGGCGGAUCUCUGGGCAAUAACUGACGCUGAGGAGCGAAAGCGUGGGGAGCGAACAGG
Molecule: ribosomal RNA, 253 nt
Filed under: uncultured bacterium
Lineage: Bacteria
Description: partial 16S ribosomal RNA
Rfam family: Bacterial small subunit ribosomal RNA
Source: RNAcentral